AUUGAACGCUGGCGGCAGGCCUAACACAUGCAAGUCGAACGAGAGGCGGACGGGUGAGUAAUAUCUGGGAAACUGCCUGAUGGGGGGGGAUAACUACUGGAAACGGUAGCUAAUACCGCAUACCAUCAGAUGUGCCCCGAUGGGAUUGGCUAGGAGGUGGGGUAAAGGCUCACCUAGGCGACGAUCCCUAGCUGGUCUGAGAGGAUGACCAGCCACACUGGAACUGAGACACGGUCCAGACUCCUACGGGAGGCAGCAGUGGGGAAUAUUGCACAAUGGGCGCAAGCCUGAUGCAGCCAUGCCGCGUGUGUGAAGAAGGCCUUCGGGUUGUAAAGCACUUUCAGCGGGGAGGCGUUACUCACAGAAGAAGCACCGGCUAACUCCGUGCCAGCAGCCGCGGUAAUUC
Molecule: ribosomal RNA, 406 nt
Filed under: uncultured bacterium
Lineage: Bacteria
Description: partial 16S ribosomal RNA
Rfam family: Bacterial small subunit ribosomal RNA
Source: RNAcentral